UACGUAGGGUGCGAGCGUUGUCCGGAAUUAUUGGGCGUAAAGGGCUCGUAGGCGGUCUGUCGCGUCGAAAGUGAAAACCCAGGGCUUAACCCUGGGCCUGCUUCCGAUACGGGCAGACUAGAGGUAUGCAGGGGAGAACGGAAUUCCUGGUGUAGCGGUGGAAUGCGCAGAUAUCAGGAGGAACACCAAUAGCGAAGGCAGCUCGCUGGGACGUUACUGACACUGAGGCGCGAAAGCGUGGGGAGCGAACAGG
RNAcentral lists this ribosomal RNA (253 nucleotides) under uncultured bacterium. Its description in RNAcentral is "partial 16S ribosomal RNA". It matches the Rfam family "Bacterial small subunit ribosomal RNA", at positions 524 to 776 of the family's 1533-position model. The record is from RNAcentral.